RNAcentral lists this ribosomal RNA (468 nucleotides) under uncultured bacterium. RNAcentral's name for it is "partial 16S ribosomal RNA". It matches the Rfam family "Bacterial small subunit ribosomal RNA", at positions 28 to 507 of the family's 1533-position model. The record is from RNAcentral.
GACGAACGCUGGCGGCGUGCUUAACACAUGCAAGUCGAACGGAAAGGCCCUGCUUUUGUGGGGUGCUCGAGUGGCGAACGGGUGAGUAACGCGUGAGUAACCUGCCCUUGACUUUGGGAUAACUUCAGGAAACUGGGGCUAAUACCGGAUAGGAGCUCCUGCUGCAUGGUGGGGGUUGGAAAGUUUCGGCGGUUGGGGAUGGACUCGCGGCUUAUCAGCUUGUUGGUGGGGUAGUGGCUUACCAAGGCUUUGACGGGUAGCCGGCCUGAGAGGGUGGCCGGCCACAUUGGGACUGAGAUACGGCCCAGACUCCUACGGGAGGCAGCAGUGGGGAAUAUUGCACAAUGGGCGGAAGCCUGAUGCAGCAACGCCGCGUGCGGGAUGACGGCCUUCGGGUUGUAAACCGCUUUCGCCUGUGACGAAGCGUGAGUGACGGUAAUGGGUAAAGAAGCACCGGCUAACUACGUG